This 433-nucleotide ribosomal RNA is filed under the name uncultured bacterium. RNAcentral describes it as "partial 16S ribosomal RNA". It matches the Rfam family "Bacterial small subunit ribosomal RNA", at positions 29 to 507 of the family's 1533-position model. The record is from RNAcentral.
AACGAACGCUGGCGGCAUGCCUAACACAUGCAAGUCGAACGAGACCUUCGGGUCUAGUGGCGCACGGGUGCGUAACGCGUGGGAACCUGCCCUUAGGUUCGGAAUAACUCCCCGAAAGGGGUGCUAAUACCGGAUAAUGUCUUCGGACCAAAGAUUUAUCGCCUUUGGAUGGGCCCGCGUUGGAUUAGCUAGUUGGUAGGGUAAAAGCCUACCAAGGCGACGAUCCAUAGCUGGUCUGAGAAGAUGAUCAGCCACACUGGGACUGAGACACGGCCCAGACUCCUACGGGAAGCAGCAGUGGGGAAUAUUGGACAAUGGGCGAAAGCCUGAUCCAGCAAUGCCGCGUGAGUGAUGAAGGCCUUAGGGUUGUAAAGCUCUUUUACCCGGGAUGAUAAUGACAGUACCGGGAGAAUAAGCUCCGGCUAACUCCGUG